Molecule: ribosomal RNA, 468 nt
Filed under: uncultured bacterium
Lineage: Bacteria
Description: partial 16S ribosomal RNA
Rfam family: Bacterial small subunit ribosomal RNA
Source: RNAcentral
GACGAACGCUGGCGGCGUGCUUAACACAUGCAAGUCGAACGGAAAGGCCCUGCUUUUGUGGGGUGCUCGAGUGGCGAACGGGUGAGUAACACGUGAGUAACCUGCCCUUGACUUUGGGAUAACUUCAGGAAACUGGGGCUAAUACCGGAUAGGAGCUCCUGCUGCAUGGUGGGGGUUGGAAAGUUUCGGCGGUUGGGGAUGGACUCGCGGCUUAUCAGCUUGUUGGUGGGGUAGUGGCUUACCAAGGCUUUGACGGGUAGCCGGCCUGAGAGGGUGACCGGCCACAUUGGGACUGAGAUACGGCCCAGACUCCUACGGGAGGCAGCAGUGGGGAAUAUUGCACAAUGGGCGGAAGCCUGAUGCAGCAACGCCGCGUGCGGGAUGACGACCUUCGGGCUGUAAACCGCUUUCGCCUGUGACGAAGCGUGAGUGACGGUAAUGGGUAAAGAAGCACCGGCUAGCUACGUG